GUGAUGUAAUAGAGGAUUUUUCCUA
Molecule: non-coding RNA, 25 nt
Filed under: Mus musculus (house mouse)
Lineage: Eukaryota; Metazoa; Chordata; Mammalia; Rodentia; Muridae
Source: RNAcentral